GGUUAAAAAGCUCGUAGUUGGAUUUCUGUCUAAAGCGGCCGGUCUCCACUAUGUGGGUGUAUCUGGUUCGGUUUGGGCAUCCUCUUGGGGAACGGUUCUGCGCUUGAUUGCGUGGGCCGGAAUUCAAGACUUUUACUUUGAGGAAAUUAGAGUGUUCACGGCAAGCUAUCGCUUUGAAUAUGUUAGCAUGGAAUAAUAAUAUAGGGCGUGAGUUCUAUUUUGUUGGUUUCUAGGAUUUACGCAAUGAUUAAUAGGGACAAUUGGGGGCAUUUGUAUUAAGGCGUCAGAGGUGGAAUUCUUAGAUUGCCUUACGACAAACUACUGCGAAAGCAUUUGCCAAGGAUGUUUUCAUUGAUCAAGAACGAAAGUAUGGGGAUCGAAAACGAUUAGAUACCGUUGUAGUCUAUACCAUAAACUAUACCAAUUAAAGAUGGGGCGUCGUUCGUUUAUGACUCGCUCUGCACCUUAUGAGAAAUCAAAAUUUUGGGGUUCCGGGGGGAGUAUGGUCGCAAGGCUGAAACUUAAAGGAAUUGACGGAAGGGCACCACCA
RNAcentral lists this ribosomal RNA (550 nucleotides) under uncultured eukaryote. RNAcentral's name for it is "SSU rRNA". It matches the Rfam family "Eukaryotic small subunit ribosomal RNA", at positions 617 to 1172 of the family's 1831-position model. The record is from RNAcentral.